CAAAUUAACCUUUAGGUUUAUUCCGCAUUUAUUCAAGCCUAAACCAUAGUUAUUUUAAAGCGCCUAUUCACCCCCCCCCCUCUAGGCGACAUCCACGAUCUUUCAGCCGCGUGAGAUGAGCUUGGGGUCGACGGAUCUGGAGGUGUAGGACUCAUAUCCUCUACCUGCGAUGCCGGAGUUCGCCGGAUGGGAACUUGUAUGACGGAGUGGAGUGGAGUGGCUAGGGUUUGGUCGGGGGAGCGGAUGAGGACGAAUAUAUGUGGGGUUGGAUGGGCCAGCGUGGGCUAGCUCUGAUGUGGAGGACACGCCCGGCCGCACUCGGGCAUCCCCAUAUCCGCCCCCAUAUUCAGGUUGAUUAUGAUGGUUGCCGGUCAGCUCGGACAUUUGAGGUUGUUUUGAAGCGCCCGUCUGGGUCAGUUUUCUUUUACCGGUCAGUGACCCAACCGUUUCAUGCGGGCGUAUGAAAAGGGAUUUGAGACCACGGUUGUAGAUGCUCUAAUAUCUGCUACUCACCUGUUAGUAGAAUGGACUUUUAAUUUUGACACAAUUAUAUGAGAGUGAUGUUAUAAGCUAGGGCAUGUCUAGGGAACAUCUAGACUAGUUAUUGCACAUCUAAAUGGCUUAAUUAUAUAUAAACAGGAAAAGAACCACCCACAUGAAUCUUCGCCUAAAAAUAAACCAUAUAUAAUUUAGAUGUACAAUUCUUAGGGCAUAUUCAUAUGUGCUUUAGCAAAACAGUAUAAACUACACACAAAUAUAUAUUGAAUUACAUUUCAAAGUUAGAGAAGUUUAACUACUUAGAUGGGCAGGGAAUGUCUACAAGACAAUCAUUAUUUUUAAUUAGUGAUGUGGUUAAUAGCGCCCUUUAUGGUAUGCAAGGGUGAUGGCUGAGAUGACCAUCAGUCCAAGGUGCCCACUCUUGCGACAAUAUGACCAAAAGGGAACAGUCGAAAUGAAGAUGAAUCCAUCUAAAAAAAGAUGAAUUGGUUAGAGAUAUGCCAUUGUAAUAUCCAUAGCAAUGAUCAUUUUUUUUGUAUGUACGACAUUCAUAUGGCAUGGAUUCCCUUUUUUACUCAAUAAUAUGGGCUAGGUCCUUUUCUUUGUCAUCAGUUUUGUUGAUAGACACUAUAGACAAAGUUUAUUGUCUUGACUCACACUCUCUGCAUUUUAAACCCGAACCGGAAAACCAUGCCAAAAAUAGAUGGAACGGAACUAAUUUUGUGGUUUUAUAGUUUUUGAUUUUUAGUACAGUAUGAAAAUUUCCUACCAUUUUGAAUUUUGGGUUCCAUGGUAUAUAGCUAAAAACCAAACAGUUGACCGAAUUACAAAAAUAUAUUUAUACUUUUUGAGCGAACGACCAUACAAGGACUCGAUCACGUAAGCACGUGAGCUUGUCUCGCUUGCAUUGUCCAACAUUCACGCGCUCAAGCAUAGAUCUUACAUCUGCUCAUCAUCAGGUAGGUAAGCAAGGUGGUACUAAAGUUGCUGCCGUCGUUCAUAUAGACUGAUUGGCCGGUGACCGCAUACAAGAUUAAGAGAAGUUGCGACCUACUCACUCAAGCUCAUGGGAAAGUUAAUGGGUAGACCAAAAUCCCAAAAGAGCUUGUAAUGCAGACAUUUUUCUUGUACAUGAGUAUGAUUCCCUACUAAGCACAUCCAUUUCUAUUGUAAAUAGUCAUUUUUCUGGAAAAAAAAGCUAAGCACGAUCAUAAACAAAGCAAAGUAUGCAUUGCACAUUUGCAUGCACGACCAGCCAUCAAGGAGUAAACACAUCCAUGCAUAUGUACGUAUUUGUAGUUAUAUAUUGUUUGUGAAUCUAAGAACUUUCGAAGUAUAUCUUUAAGAUUGUUCAGGUGAUCUGGAUCAAUAUUUAUGAUGGUUCACUGCCAUCCAUAUUAAUUGAAUAGUAGGACUUCCCAAUCCAAAAGAUUCUUCAAUAGACAGUUUUAUUUCAUCAUUAUGCCAAGCUUCAUUGAUCAGAAUUUUUCAAUAUUUCAAUAAUCAGCACAAAAAGGUAGGCGAGAUAGAUGAUCCCCCUAUAUGAUACCUCCUUUGCAAACAAUUCUUUUGCCAGUCGCACCAUUAAGUGUAACAUGGGUUAUAGCAGAGUUCAGUAUGCUCCUUGUCCACAUGAUCCAUUUCCCCCAGAUCCAACUGUUGAAGCGUGAAAACAAUAGCACAAUGGUCUAUCUUAUCAAAUGUCCUUUUCUUAACCAAUCCUAGAGAUAAAAAAAUCUCUUUUUGAUUUGUGGCAGAUUUGAAGGUAUUCAAAAGCCCAAUGUAAGAAUCUAGAAUAUUUAUGUUUUUAACGAACACACAUUGAUUAUUGCUACGUAUAUGAUAUUUUUCUGCACUAUGUUAGCUAGUAUUUUUGUUAAAACUUUAAUAGGCAUGCUUAUAAGGGAGAUUGGUCUGUAGUUUGUUGUAGAUUCAGAAGUAUCCUAGUAAUGAGUGAAAUGCAGAUAGUGUCAACAAGUUAUCAGUUCACCUUUUUCAUCAUGAAAGUCAAAACAGAACCUAUAAAAUUGAUUUGUAAUAACAUGCCCACACCUCUAAAUGAAAAAACCAUCGAAACCAUCUACUUGUAGGGAUUUAUCAUUGUGCAUACAAUUAACAACCUGGUCAAUCUUAUGAGUGAUGAGUGUGUAUUCCAAAUGAUUGAGAUUAUUAUUUGUAGCUAAAGCCAAGUAUCAUUGAUCUUUCGUCGGUGGUGAAAGGGUCCCGAUGCUUUUCUCUAGAUAUCUCUAAUUGCAUAUUAAAAAUGUCAAAUAAAAUGUUCACGCUACUAGUUAAAUGUGUCAUACUACUUAUGAGUAACAUAACAACUUUGUACUAUACGUCCACCUUUUUAAUUACAAUAUCUACUGAAAAUGUUCAUGCUCUCAGAUAAAUAAUAUGUGUGUAUUUAAAAAAUGUCCAUAAGUUCAAAAUGUCAUAGAUUUUAAAAAAUGCUCACACAUCCAAAAAUGUAGUUGUGUUUUUUCAUAAAUAAACAGAAGUGGUGAAAGUAAUUUGAAUCAAAAUGCAAAUGAAGAUAAUGUUUUCUUGUUGAAACACACAAAAAAGGAAAAUUAAAAUAUAGAGAAGGAGGGGGGGGGGAUAAUAAGAUAUAAUAAUAGAAGAAAAGGACAGGUAAAAGAAGCCAAGCAACCAGUAAUUGGCCGUACCAAAAAGGGGUGCUAGCAUAGCAUCCUUAGUUCACACAAUGAGCAUGGGAAACCUCUAAAACAUGCACGCUUAACAUGUUGGAGCUUAAUUCAAAUUAGACAUGGAAUUCUAACAUGCCUCUAGCAUGGAAAGCCAAUUAUGGAGACAUCUAUAUAUAGGAAGGGUGAAGGCUUUAGCCAUUUUCGGAACCUACCCAUCGAUAAGAAGUGCCCAAAUUUGCCAAUCCAAAUAUGGAAGUCCAGGCCCACAACGCUCCUCCCCUAAUGGGUUAUUUGAAAAACCACGAGGAGAAAAAGAAUGUAAUAUAAUUAUAGUUGCACCAACACACUAUAUCAAUUGUAUUUCUGCUAUGAGUAUACGCGUCUCAAGAUAUGGAUUUUCUGUAAAACCGAAAACAUGUAGAAAACAUCAAGUGGAUUUGGGCACUAAAUUAAUAGGUUAGUCCAGAAAAAUAAUAUAAGUUGCUAUAAUUUUUUUUCAAAAGUGAUAAUGUAAUAGCAUGAAACAAUCACAAAUUAUAGAUACAUUUGAGACGUAUCACAGACUUCAUGUGGAAAUCUCAGGCACCUCUUCAGUGUCGUUUCUUUACAUGGCUGGCACCACGGAAUAGAUGAAGGACUUCGGGCUGACUGGCAUAGAGGGGUUUGCCUCACCAGGAAGUGUGCUUGCUAUGUGCAGGUUGAGGACAUGAUCGACCACAUCCUACUCACGUGUGUGUCCGCAAGGACCGUGUGGACUCAGAUCUGUUUGCCGCUGGGCAGGCCAGAGUGGACACCAACAACAAAUGGCACGCUCAUCAAAUGGUGCUCGGACGAAGCUGCUAGGAGAUACAUACCUAAGGAAUUCCGUGCCAUGUUCAUCCUCGCCCUCUAUGGCAACUAUGGAUGCAUCAAAAUGCCGUAGUGUUCGAUAGGGGACUCGCCCUUACGACCGAUAGUGGUCUCACGAAUUGCGAAUGAAGGUGGGGCAUGGCGAUAAGUGGGCCUUCUAAAAGGAGAUUUGGAUGUUUUUUCGGUGCUUUAGCCAUGUGGGCGAGAGGGGAGUAGUUUUUUUGUGAUAGUUUGAUGCAUGUUGGGUGGAGUUCUUAUGGUGUCUGGUGGGGUUGUAACAACUUGUAACAUCAUACGGUGGACUGGGUUCUUUACCCUCCUUCCCCUUUAAUAUUGUGCGUAUUCGAGAUUUUUUCCCACCAAAUCCAAUUGAGGCAUUAAAACAAAAGCACUAUGUUAUACCUUAUUAGACGCUCUGUCAAAAUUGAUCUUAAAGAACGCAAAUUCUCUUUUAGAUUUGUGGCGGAUUUGAAGGUAUUCAAAAGCCUAACAUAAGGAUUCCUGAAUACUUUUGAUGUUUAACCCAUAUUAAUUAUUUCUAGGUAUUUAUAUGAUAUCUCUCUAUACCCUAUUAGCCAUUGAUUUCGUUAACACUUUAAUAGGCAUGCUCACCAUGAAGAUCUAUCUCUAGUCUACUACAGAUUCAAGAGUAGGUAUCUUAGAAAUGAGCGAUAUAUAGAGACUGUUAACAAGUUGUAUGCUUAUUUUUUUUCAUUAUGAUAGUUAAAACAGAACUUGUAAAAUAGGUCUAUAAUAACAUGCUAUCAUCUCUUCAUGAAAAGGCCAUUGAACUGUCUAGUUAUAGGGAUUUAUCAUCGUGUAUAAAUUAACAACCUUGUUGUUUUCAUCAUUGGUGAAUGUGUCUUUCAAAUGAUCGAGACUAUUAUUGGUAGCUAAAUGUUGAGUAUCCUAUAAAAUUGAUCUUUCAUCAGCGAUGAAAUGGAUCCUGAGGAUUUUCCCGAGAUAUGUUUCACUCUUUAUGAAAAGAAAUUAUAUAUGGCAAAUAAAAUAUUCACACUACUAGUUAAAUGUUCACACCACUCAUAAGUAACAUAACUAUUUUGUGCUAUACAUCAACUUUUUUAAUACUGAUAUCUAUUGAGUUCUCAAAUGAAAGAUAUUUGUGUAUUUAUGAAAUGUCCAUAUGUUCAAAAUUUAUGGUCAUUGAGUUUUCAAAAAUAUUGAUGCAUCGAAAAAUGUUGUUGCGUUUUUAUAAAUAAAUACUAAGGGUAAAAGUAAUGUAAAUCAAAAUUUAAAUAAACACAACAAUUUUCAUGGAAGCAUAAGGCCUGGGGGAUUAGAUAAUUUGUCAAGCUUUAUUAGGGGUUUGAUGAUUUAUCCCAGGAUUGUUUCAGUGGUUAGUGGCCCCGGCCCCACCCGUCAAUCUCGAUGGGGUGGGGGAUGAUCAAAGUGAAAAGUAAAGUGUGGGUUAAGAUCUAAUUUAUCCAGACCUUAUUCGUUGGAGGAGGUUUAGACGAGAAUAUCCCCAUAGGGCCCGGAAUAAUGAGGAAUCACCGUUGGCCCAUGCCAGCCCCCUCCUCCCUCCACACCAAACCCUCCGAAGACCCAGGUGACGUGUUACAAAAAACUCUAGAAGCCACUCGCGGAACGUGAUGAGACAAGGGCGCUCGCGAUGCUACUGCUAUCGUAUGCGGUUUAACCAAACAAAAAGGAUUUACGAGGAAGAGGGGGGGGGGGUAGGUGGGGACUUGAGGAAAUUAGGUGGAGGGGAGGGAAGACCAAAUCCCCUCCAAAGAAGAAAGGAAAAUAAAAAUAUAGAGAAGGAGAUAAUAAAUAAAUAAAACAAUAACAUAAUAAGGUAGGAAAAAAGCCAAGCAACCCCUAAUUGGCCAUACCAAAAAGGGUCGCUAGCUAAGCAUCCUUAUUUCACACAAUGAGCAUGGAAAACCUUUAAACUUGCACACUUUUUCUUUGCGGGGGAAGCAUGCACAUUUUACAUGCUGAAGCUUAAAUGAAAAUAGACAUGGAAUUCUAUCGAGCCUCUAACACAAAAGCCAAUUAUGGAGGCGUCUAUAUACACACAGGGAGGGAUGGAGGCUUUAGCCUUUUUUGGAAUCCCUCGAAACCCUUACCCACACAUCCCCCGUGCCUAAAUCCAUCCGUCCAAAUAUGGAAGCCCGGCUCACAAUGCUCCUCCCCUAAUAGGGCUAUCUGAAAAACCACGAGGUGAAAAAUGUAAUAUAACUGCAAUAGCGCCAACACACUAUCCCGGCGCCGAUGAUGAUGGUGCUUUUGGUUAGGCCCGGUAAACCACUUCACCAACCGAUCCACUACUUCCACUUUUAUUCAGUGAAACGGAACGGAAAAAAGUUGAAAUGGGCUAGGGGAGUACUUGAUCAUUUCUAAGAUACCUACUCUUGAAUCUAUAGUAGACUAGAGACCGAUCUUCAAUGGCGCUUUUGGUUAAAACAGAACUUGUAAAAUUGGUCUAUAAUAACAUGCUAUCAUCUCUUCAUGAAAAGGCCAUUAAAACGUCUAGUUCCAGGGAUUUAUCAUUGUGUAUAAAUUAACAACCUCAUCGAUUUCAUCAUUGGUGAAUGUGUCUUUCAAAUGAUCGAGACUAUUAUUGGUGGCUAAAUGUUGAGUAUCCUAUAGAAUUGAUCUUUCAUCAACGAUGAAAUGGACCCUGAGGAUUUUCUCGAGAUAUGUUUCACUCUUUAUGAAAAGAUAUUAUAUAUGGCAAAUAAAAUAUUCACACUACUAGUUAAAUGUUCACACCACUCAUAAGUAACAUAACUUUUUUGUGCUAUACAUCAACUUUUUUAAUACUGAUAUCUAUUGAGUUCUCAAAUGAAAGAUAUUUGUGUAUUUAUGAAAUGUCCAUAUGUUCAAAAUUUAUGGUCAUUGAGUUUUCAAAAAUAUUGAUGCAUCGACAAAAUGUUGUUGCGUUUUUAUAAAUAAAUACUAAGGAUAAAAGUAAUGUAAAUCAAAAUUUAAAUAAACACAACAAUUUUCAUGGAAGCAUAAGGCCUGGGGGAUUAGAUAAUUUGUCAAGCUUUAUUAGGGGUUUGAUGAUUUAUCCCAGGAUUGUUUCAGUGGUUAGUGGCCCCGGCCCCACCCGUCAAUCUCGAUGGGGUGGGGGAUGAUCAAAGUGAAAAGUAAAGUGUGGGUUAAGAUCUAAUUUAUCCAGACCUUAUUCGUUGGAGGAGGUUUAGACGAGAAUAUCCCCAUAGGGCCAGGAAUAAUGAGGAAUCACCGUUGGCCCAUGCCAGCCCCCUCCUCCCUCCACACCAACCCCUCCGAAGACCCAGGUGACGUGUUACAGAAAACUCUAGAAGCCACUCGCGGAACGUGAUGAGACAAGGGCGCUCGCGAUGCUACUGCUGUCAUAUGCGGUUUAANNNNNNNNNNNNNNNNNNNNNNNNNNNNNNNNNNNNNNNNNNNNNNNNNNNNNNNNNNNNNNNNNNNNNNNNNNNNNNNNNNNNNNNNNNNNNNNNNNNNNNNNNNNNNNNNNNNNNNNNNNNNNNNNNNNNNNNNNNNNNNNNNNNNNNNNNNNNNNNNNNNNNNNNNNNNNNNNNNNNNNNNNNNNNNNNNNNNNNNNNNNNNNNNNNNNNNNNGGUAGGUGGGGACUUGAGGAAAUUAGGUGGAGGGGAGGGAAGACCAAAUCCCCUCCAAAGAAGAAAGGAAAAUAAAAAUAUAGAGAAGGAGAUAAAAAAUAAAUAAAACAAUAACAUAAUAAUGUAGGAAAAAAAGCCAAGCAACCCCUAAUUGGCCAUACCAAAAAGGGUCGCUAGCUAAGCAUCCUUAUUUCACACAAUGAGCAUGGAAAACCUUUAAACUUGCACACUUUUUCUUUGCGGGGGAAGCAUGCACAUUUUACAUGCUGAAGCUUAAAUGAAAAUAGACAUGGAAUUCUAUCGAGCCUCUAACACAAAAGCCAAUUAUGGAGGCGUCUAUAUACACACAUGGAGGGAUGGAUGCUUUAGCCUUUUUUGGAAUCCCUCGAAACCCUUACCCACACAUCCCCCGUGCCUAAAUCCAUCCGUCCAAAUCUGGAAGCCCGGCUCACAAUGCUCCUCCCCUAAUAGGGCUAUCUGAAAAACCACGAGGUGAAAAAUGUAAUAUAACUGCAAUAGCGCCAACACACUAUCCGGCGCCGAUGAUGAUGGUGCUUUUGGUUAGGCCCGGUAAACCACUUCACCAACCGAUCCACUACUUCCACUUUUAUUCAGUGAAAUGGAACGGAAAAAAGUUGAAAUGGGCUAGGGGAGUACUUGAUCAUUUCUAAGAUACCUACUCUUGAAUCUGUAGUAGACUAGAGAUCGAUCUUCAAUGGUGCUUUUGGUUAAAACAGAACUUGUAAAAUUGGUCUAUAAUAACAUGCUAUCAUCUCUUCAUGAAAAGGCCAUUAAAACGUCUAGUUCCAGGGAUUUAUCAUUGUGUAUAAAUUAACAACCUCCUCGAUUUCAUCAUUGGUGAAUGUGUCUUUCAAAUGAUUGAGACUAUUAUUGGUGGCUAAAUGUUGAGUAUCCUAUAGAAUUGAUCUUUCAUCAACGAUGAAAUGGACCCUGAGGAUUUUCUCGAGAUAUGUUUCACUCUUUAUGAAAAGAUAUUAUAUAUGGCAAAUAAAAUAUUCACACUACUAGUUAAAUGUUCACACCACUCAUAAGUAACAUAACUAUUUUGUGCUAUACAUCAACUUUUUUAAUACUGAUAUCUAUUGAGUUCUCAAAUGAAAGAUAUUUGUGUAUUUAUGAAAUGUCCAUAUGUUCAAAAUUUAUGGUCAUUGAGUUUUCAAAAAUAUUGAUGCAUCAAAAAAUGUUGUUGCGUUUUUAUAAAUAAAUACUAAGGAUAAAAGUAAUGUAAAUCAAAAUUUAAAUAAACACAACAAUUUUCAUGGAAGCAUAAGGCCUGGGGGAUUAGAUAAUUUGUCAAGCUUUAUUAGGGGUUUGAUGAUUUAUCCCAGGAUUGUUUCAGUGGUUAGUGGCCCCGGCCCCACCCGUCAAUCUCGAUGGGGUGGGGGAUGAUCAAAGUGAAAAGUAAAGUGUGGGUUAAGAUCUAAUUUAUCCAGACCUUAUUCGUUGGAGGAGGUUUAGACGAGAAUAUCCCCAUAGGGCCCGGAAUAAUGAGGAAUCACCGUUGGCCCAUGCCAGCCCCCUCCUCCCUCCACACCAACCCCUCCGAAGACCCAGGUGACGUGUUACAGAAAACUCUAGAAGCCACUCGCGGAACGUGAUGAGACAAGGGCGCUCGCGAUGCUACUGCUGUCGUAUGCGGUUUAACCAAACAAAAAGGAUUUACGAGGAAGAGGGGGGGUAGGUGGGGACUUGAGGAAAUUAGGUGGAGGGGAGGGAAGACCAAAUCCCCUCCAAAGAAGAAAGGAAAAUAAAAAUAUAGAGAAGGAGAUAAAAAAUAAAUAAAACAAUAACAUAAUAAGGUAGGAAAAAAAAGCCAAGCAACCCCUAAUUGGCCAUACCAAAAAGGGUCGCUAGCUAAGCAUCCUUAUUUCACACAAUGAGCAUGGAAAACCUUUAAACUUGCACACUUUUUCUUUGCGGGGGAAGCAUGCACAUUUUACAUGUUGAAGCUUAAAUGAAAAUAGACAUGGAAUUCUAUCGAGCCUCUAACACAAAAGCCAAUUAUGGAGGCGUCUAUAUACACACAGGGAGGGAUGGAGGCUUUAGCCUUUUUUGGAAUCCCUCGAAACCCUUACCCACACAUCCCCCGUGCCUAAAUCCAUCCGUCCAAAUCUGGAAUCCCGGCUCACAAUGCUCCUCCCCUAAUAGGGCUAUCUGAAAAACCACGAGGUGAAAAAUGUAAUAUAACUGCAAUAGCGCCAACACACUAUCCCGGCGCCGAUGAUGAUGGUGCUUUUGGUUAGGCCCGGUAAACCACUUCACCAACCGAUCCACUACUUCCACUUUUAUUCAGUGAAACGGAACGGGAAAAAGUUGAAAUGGGCUAGGGGAGUACUUGAUCAUUUCUAAGAUACCUACUCUUGAAUCUGUAGUAGACUAGAGAUCGAUCUUCAAUGGUGCUUUUGGUUAAAACAGAACUUGUAAAAUUGGUCUAUAAUAACAUGCUAUCAUCUCUUGAUGAAAAGGCCAUUAAAACGUCUAGUUCCAGGGAUUUAUCAUUGUGUAUAAAUUAACAACCUCAUCGAUUUCAUCAUUGGUGAAUGUGUCUUUCAAAUGAUCGAGACUAUUAUUGGUGGCUAAAUGUUGAGUAUCCUAUAGAAUUGAUCUUUCAUCAACGAUGAAAUGGACCCUGAGGAUUUUCUCGAGAUAUGUUUCACUCUUUAUGAAAAGAUAUUAUAUAUGGCAAAUAAAAUAUUCACACUACUAGUUAAAUGUUCACACCACUCAUAAGUAACAUAACUAUUUUGUGCUAUACAUCAACUUUUUUAAUACUGAUAUCAAUUGAGUUCUCAAAUGAAAGAUAUUUGUGUAUUUAUGAAAUGUCCAUAUGUUCAAAAUUUAUGGUCAUUGAGUUUUCAAAAAUAUUGAUGCAUCAAAAAAUGUUGUUGCGUUUUUAUAAAUAAAUACUACAUAUAAAAGUAAUUUAAAUCAAAUUUUGAAUAAACAUAACAAUUUUCAUGGAAGCAUAAGGCCUGGGGGAUUAGAUGAAUUGCCACGCUUUAUUAGGGGUUUAAUGAUUUGCCCUAGGAUUGUUUCAAUGGCUAGUGGCCUCGCCCACCCGUCAAUCUCGAGGGGGGGGGGCAAAAAUGAUCAAAGUGAAAAGUAUAGUGUGGGUUAAUAUCUAAUUUCUCCAUAAGGCCUUAUUCGUUAGAAGAGGUUUAGAUGAGAAUAUCCCCAUAGGGCCCAGAAUACCAAGGAAUCACUAUCGGCCCAUGCCAGCCCCUCCCCCCCCCCCACCAACCCCUCUGAAGACCCAGUUGACGUGUUACAGAAAACUCUAGAAGCCACUCACGGAAUGUGAUGAGACAAGGGUGCUCGCGAUGCUACUGCUGUCGUAUGCGGUUUAACCCAACAAAAAGGAUUUACGAGGAAUAGGGAGGGGGAAGGGGAUUAGUGAGGAAUUGAGGAAAUUGGGUGGAGGGGAGGGACGACCAAAUCCCCUCCAAAGGAGGCAUAAAGAAGAAAGGAAAAUAAAAUGCAGAGAAGGAGAUAAAAAAUUAAAUAAAAUAAUAACAUAAGAAGGUAGGGAAAAAAUGACCAAGCAACCCCUAAUUGGCCGUACCAAAAAGGGGCGCUAGUUAACCAUCUUUAUUUCACACAAUGAGCAUGGAAAACCUUUAAACCUGCACACUUUUUCUUUGCAGGAAAACUUGCACAUUUUACAUGCUGAGGCUUAAAUGAAAAUAAGCAUGGAAUUCCACCGAGCCUCUAACCCAAAAGCCAAUUAUGAAGGCGUCUAUAUACAUACAGGGAGGGACGGAGGCUUUAGCCAUUUUUGGAAUCCCCCGAAACCCUUACCCACACCUCCCCCGUGCCCAAAUUCACCCGUCCAAAUCUAGAAGACCAGGCUCACAACGCUCCUCCCCUAACGGAUUAUUUAAAAAAACCACGAGGUGAAAAAUGCAAUACAACUGCAAUUGCGCCAACGCACUAUCCCGGCUCUAUUUUUUGCUACGAGUAUGCACACCUCUGGUUAUAAUUUCUGCCAUCAAGGACUUCCCUAGCCCAUUUCAACUUUUUAUCUUCAUUUAUAUGAAAAAGCACUCCGCCAGCAAGUAAUGGAUCAGAGUUGGUGAAGUAGCUUAUCGGGCCUAACCAAAAGCACCGUCAUCAUCGGGCGUCUUAACUAUCUCAUCAAUGGCAAUAAAAACUUCUUACCAGUACCAUCAAUCCAGUGACCAGGCGUCGUGCUGUAGCUGAGAUGGAACGACCAGCUCGCCGCCAGCACCUAGAUAAGCAGGAGUAGAUAGAUAGAUAGAUGCCCCGGUUGAAAGGAUAACCAUCGGCGCCGCCCGCGAGUAGUAGCCGUGGCGUGCCAUCCGUUCGUGGUUACCACCAGAAAUGCAUUGUUAAGCCGGGUUAACCACGCGAAUUUGUUCACUCAGAGGACUCAUCCGUUCGGGUUAGCCGUGGUUUCGCUCCGUGAUGCCGUCACCGUGAUGGCAGAUUCUACCGAGGCAGGCGCAAAAAACAAAAAAGAGAAUCGAAUCCCCUCGCGAGUACCACUACCACCGGAUAAAAAGAUGCCCUAUCCCCGGGGCCCGCCUGCCAUUGGGACCAGGAUGGCCGCAGAACACUUGCGUACAACGGGACAGAGGGACUCUUGCGCGCAGCCCCCUGGAGUUCUUCUCAAUCACGGAUGGGUCCCAUUUCCCUCUCCUCGCCACGGGCCGCGGCCGCUAUAUAAAGCGGCAGGCAUCCGGAGCACGGAGACACACGCAGAGAGAGCGAGAGACCCGCCGCCCCACCCCCCUCACCCGCCGCCGCCCCGUGCGUCCCGUCCGUUCGGUCCGUUAGGGCUUCGGCCGUCCGCCAUGGCGAUCCUCGGGGAGCUCGGGACCGAGAUCCUCAUCCCCGUCUGCGGGGUCGUCGGCAUCGUCUUCGCCGUCGCGCAGUGGUUCAUCGUCUCCAAGGUCAAGGUCACCCCCGGCGCCGCCUCCGCCGCCGGCGGCGGCAAGAACGGCUACGGCGACUACCUCAUCGAGGAGGAGGAGGGCCUCAACGACCACAACGUCGUCGUCAAGUGCGCCGAGAUCCAGACCGCCAUCUCUGAAGGUGAGAAGCAUCCUCCGCCUCCUCCACCGCCCGGGUGGUCCCCCCUCCCCCCCUCUCACUCUCUCCCCAGAUCUGGGGCGGCCGUUGCUCGGCGGGAGCAGAUCCGCCCGUUUCGCGGCCGUUUCUCCGGCGGAAGCGGCCGCGCUUCGAGCGCGGACAAUGUUUGAAACUGCCGGAUAUUCUUUACUGUACAAAGUAGAAUCUCGCCUAGGCAGCCUUAAUUUUUCAGGGCCAAAUGGCUCGGUUUGUGGCCGUCCGUUGGCUCAUUUCGUCGAUUCCGGCGCUGAUCUGAGCGGGGAACUUUCGAAUUUCAGCUCCCCGAGUGUUUUUUCCUCUUCAUGGAAGGAUAAAACCAUGAGAAAGCUGAGCUGUAGCCAUGCUAAAAGCUCUUCCUUGCUUCCUUUUAUGCAAAAGGAAACCGAAUCCGGGCGCCGGAGCUUUUGAUUCGCCCGUGGGCGCUGCAGAACAGUGUCGUUUUCCCUAAGAUAUAUUUGUCGCUCCCGGCUUAGUUCCAAAUCUGCAGGAUUUGAAAGUUGGCCCCUUUGACACUUUUGUUUGCUACGCUAGUAAAUUUUUGUUUAUGUGGGGCUAGGAAAGCCUAGCAAAAUCACCAUCUUCCAUUUUUUAAAUCUGAAUGAAAUGAAAAUUGACAUCAGAUGCCUGUGUUUGGUGCCAGAUCAAGGCUUCAAUAAACAGUUCUUUUAAUGCCUUGAGCGGUGCCCGUGUUCUGCGUCGGUGCUGUAGUAAAGAUGCAGCUUUCAGUGAGCAACUGCACAUCUCUACCGUCGCUGUCUUAUUUUAAUUAGAAGAGUAUCAUACUCGCUUGCUGGUGGAAGGCGCGUGAUGGAUCUGCCAGACGCAGCAAGCUGGACACGUUGCGAGCUGCCUUGACUUAGCUCACUCCACUGCCCUGGGUAGGCAGAUCCAGACCUGAAACGUCAGGCUCAUGGAUAAGGAUCCCGGCCAUCUGUCACUGACGUGUCGUCAGUUUGCCGCUAGCCUUGUGAGAUUGCCAUCUCCAUCUGCCUAACCCUCAUCGGAUGCGUGUCCUGUUUCUUGGGGUUUGGUGAUUGGUGUCACCGAUUUGUUUCUUCUUUGAUUGGGACGUGUACAGUGGAAGAUCUGCUCUUGGAAUUGUCCGCUGGGAUAGGAUUGGGUGCGUGGCCUGCUGCUCUUCCCCAGAUGUAAGACGGCAGUGGGUGGUAGAUAUUUGUUUCUCCGUGUGUCAGUCUCUAGGUAGAUCCUAUUUCGUUACUUACUAAUUUCAGGAAGGUACAAUUGAACCGAGGUUAUCUAAUAAUGUAAUAAUAUGUGCACUGCUAGCUGUAAUGAAAAGUUGGCUUUAUUUAAUAUAACUAUUUAGUUUGGUCAUAUGAGUUAUGUGUAACAGUUAACUUUUAUUGUGAACAGGAGCAACCUCAUUUCUUUUCACCAUGUACCAGUAUGUUGGUAUGUUCAUGGUCGUCUUUGCUGCGGUUAUCUUCGUCUUCCUUGGGUCGAUUGAGGGAUUCAGCACAAAGGGCCAGCCCUGCACCUACAGCACGGGCACCUGCAAGCCAGCUCUCUACACCGCUCUCUUCAGCACUGCGUCUUUCUUGCUUGGAGCCAUCACAUCUCUGGUGUCUGGUUUCCUUGGGAUGAAGAUCGCCACAUACGCCAAUGCCAGGACGACCCUGGAAGCAAGGAAGGGUGUUGGGAAGGCAUUUAUCACCGCUUUCCGCUCUGGUGCAGUCAUGGGCUUCUUGUUGUCAUCAAGUGGGCUUGUGGUUCUUUACAUCACCAUCAAUGUGUUCAAGAUGUACUACGGUGAUGACUGGGAAGGUCUUUUUGAGUCCAUCACUGGUUAUGGUCUGGGUGGGUCUUCCAUGGCUCUAUUCGGAAGAGUUGGUGGAGGUAUCUACACCAAGGCUGCUGACGUGGGUGCUGACCUUGUUGGCAAAGUUGAGAGGAACAUUCCUGAAGAUGACCCAAGGAACCCAGCUGUGAGUUCACUUCUCACUUCUCAGCUUUUGGCUAAUCGUUUUAGGCAAAUUACAAUUUAUACUGUGACUGUUAUGCUUCAUGGCAUAUCCUUUGCUGAACUUUAAACUCUUGUUUGCAGGUAAUUGCUGACAACGUCGGUGACAAUGUUGGUGAUAUUGCUGGGAUGGGAUCAGAUCUCUUUGGUUCAUACGCAGAAUCGUCCUGCGCUGCUCUUGUUGUUGCUUCUAUCUCAUCUUUUGGAAUCAACCAUGAUUUCACUGCGAUGUGCUACCCACUGCUCGUGAGCUCUGUUGGCAUCAUUGUUUGCUUGCUCACCACCCUGUUUGCGACUGAUUUCUUUGAGAUCAAGGCUGCAAGCGAAAUUGAACCUGCUCUGAAGAAGCAGCUCAUCAUCUCCACUGCUUUAAUGACUAUCGGUGUUGCGGUGAUCAGCUGGUUGGCUCUCCCAGCUAAGUUCACCAUCUUCAACUUCGGUGCUCAGAAGGACGUGUCCAACUGGUAAUUUAUUUGUCAAUAUUUUUACUCAAUUUGCAAUGUUGUACUCGCUUCUGAUUAUGCUCUCUUGGUUUCACAGGGGCCUGUUCUUCUGUGUGGCAGUUGGUCUGUGGGCUGGUCUGAUUAUUGGGUUUGUGACCGAAUACUACACUAGCAAUGCCUACAGGUAAGGAACCCAUUAGUUUCUAGUUAUAUUAUUGUUCAUAUUUUGUGUUAUGGUGUCUUAUCCCCCAAUUAGUUUCUAGUUAUAUUAUUGUUCAUAUUUUGUGUUACGGUGUCUUAUCCCCCAAUUAUUUCCUUGUGGCAGCCCUGUGCAAGAUGUUGCCGAUUCCUGCAGAACUGGUGCUGCCACCAACGUCAUCUUCGGUCUUGCCCUUGGUUACAAGUCAGUCAUCAUCCCAAUUUUCGCUAUUGCUGUCAGCAUCUACGUCAGCUUCUCUAUUGCUGCAAUGUACGGCAUUGCAAUGGCUGCUCUUGGCAUGCUUAGCACAAUGGCAACUGGUCUUGCUAUCGAUGCUUAUGGUCCCAUUAGUGACAAUGCUGGUGGAAUUGCUGAGAUGGCUGGCAUGAGCCACAGAAUCCGUGAGAGGACUGAUGCUCUUGAUGCUGCUGGCAACACAACCGCUGCUAUUGGAAAGGUAAAUUUUCCUGCUCUACAUUUGUUGGGUAACUCCUUUUUGACUUGACUACUGUUGUUUUUUGCCACAUUGAGAAGUUAAAAGUAUUUGAUAAGAUGGGCUAUUUGAUUAUUGCGGAAUUAGGCAGUGGGUGAUGGGUUUGUAGUGAAAGCCACUUUAUUGGUUAUGUAACUCACUCUUUGCAUAUAAUGUUGCAGGGUUUCGCCAUUGGAUCAGCUGCUCUUGUGUCCCUGGCACUUUUUGGUGCCUUCGUCAGCAGAGCUGGUGUGAAGGUCGUUGAUGUCCUAUCUCCCAAGGUGUUCAUUGGCCUGAUUGUCGGAGCCAUGCUUCCGUACUGGUUCUCUGCCAUGACCAUGAAGAGUGUUGGAAGUGCUGCUCUCAAGAUGGUUGAGGAGGUCCGCAGGCAGUUCAAUACCAUCCCUGGACUGAUGGAGGGAACUGCCAAGCCCGACUAUGCCACCUGUGUCAAGAUCUCCACUGAUGCUUCCAUCAGGGAGAUGAUUCCUCCGGGUGCUUUGGUCAUGCUCACCCCCCUCAUUGUCGGAACCCUCUUUGGCGUGGAAACCCUGUCUGGUGUUCUUGCUGGUGCCCUUGUUUCUGGAGUACAGGUAUCCUAGUGCUCUCCCCUUGCUUCCUGGGGAGUACCUCUGAAUCCGUUUAUUCUAGGCAUUUACCUAGUUCCUUACUUACAGAUCGCCAUCUCUGCUUCCAACACCGGCGGUGCAUGGGACAACGCAAAGAAGUACAUUGAGGUAAAUAUUCUCAGAAGCCCUGAUUGUUGAUUUCCUUUUGACUUUAUAUUGAUGAGCCAAUGUAUUGAUCAUGUCUCUUAACUUUGUCAUCAACUUCUUCGCUACUUGUUUCAGGCCGGCAACAGCGAGCACGCGAGGUCCCUUGGCCCCAAGGGUUCAGACUGCCACAAGGCGGCCGUGAUCGGCGACACCAUCGGAGACCCCCUCAAGGACACCUCAGGCCCGUCGCUCAACAUCCUCAUCAAGCUGAUGGCCGUCGAGUCCCUCGUGUUCGCGCCCUUCUUCGCCACGUACGGAGGUGUGCUGUUCAAGUACAUCUAGAAGACUCGUCGAGCGGACUUAGAAUCUACGGACACCAUCACGAAUAACUCUGCCCCGCCCGCCCGCCGUUCGUAUGUUGUGCGCUGCUGUUAUUUUUGGUUCUUGUGUCAUUAUUCCAGGAUUGCCGCAGUUUACCCCCACUUUCCCUUUGGCCUCUUGGGUGUGUUACGUUAGUCUCACCAUUACCGGCUUGUAGCUCCAUGUAGUAGAAGAGAGAGACCAGAUGUCCUCGGUCAUUAUUGGUAUGUGUCUGGCAAAUUUUCCUCGUCCCGUGAUGACGACGAUAAUGUUUGAACCCUUGAACAAUGAUAUCAUGACGAUUGUUGCAUCAUCUCACCUAUGCCGAGUCUUUAUUCUUAUUCAGCUGAUCUGUGUGCACCUGUGACUUGCUGCUCGAUCUGCAUAAGAUCAGCUAGAUAGAAGUGCUAGUUCAGAAUGUAGGAAUGUUCUGAUCUUGUGUGAAA
Molecule: long non-coding RNA, 17305 nt
Filed under: Triticum aestivum (bread wheat)
Lineage: Eukaryota; Viridiplantae; Streptophyta; Magnoliopsida; Poales; Poaceae
Description: long non-coding RNA (TAES_LNC014250)
Source: RNAcentral